This 385-nucleotide long non-coding RNA is filed under the name Physcomitrium patens. Its description in RNAcentral is "long non-coding RNA (PPAT_LNC000783)". The record is from RNAcentral. Lineage: Eukaryota; Viridiplantae; Streptophyta; Bryopsida; Funariales; Funariaceae.
UCGGCAUAUUAGGGUCAUUUAGGAUUUCUGUAAUAUCUGGAGAUCUAUCAACUGAAAUAAGGUGAAUUUUGAUGUAAUAAGUCGAGGACUUAAAGGCGGAGCUGCAUACAAGGUUUGAAUGAAAAUUAAUGGUUGGAGAAGGAGAAAUUGCAAGUCAAGAUUUAUCAUCAAUUUUUUAGGCAGCGGUCAAGGAACAUCAGUGUGGAUUUAUGAUGUUUUCUUGCAAUCUGUAAGUUAGAUUAGAUUAAAACUUCUUGAGCAUUUAGAAGACUUAUAAAGAUACUAGCAAUAGAAAUUUUACAACAAUUAGAUGGUCAGAUUGAAAAUUACAGCUUGUCGAAGCUCGCUGUCUAAGGUAAGGGUUUAAAAAUUAAAAAAUUAAAAA